GCACAGUGGCAAAGAAGUGAGAGCAGGCCUGUGUGGGGCUCUCUGGCUCUCUCUGCUUGCAGCACAAGAAAAAAAUCAAAUCAAAGAUCAGGGUACAGAAGUGCAGAGUGAUGGAAGAAGAGGUGGAAGUUGAUCUGAACUUGGCUCAGUUACAUCACUGUGGCAUUUCAGGUAUGCACUGUAAUAAAGUGACCAUAUAUUUGCAAUCAGACUUAGGACAGAUUUCCUUCUCAAAGACAAAAUUAUCUAGAAAGUGGAUCCAUGGGUAAAAAGUAACACUCAUGAGGCAGAUUAUGAACAGAAUUAAGCCAGUGGAAGUAAGUAUAACUUCACCAAAUUCAACGCAUUGGGAAGGACUUUUACUUUAAAGUCCCAAAGUAGAACUACUGGUCAGCAGAUGGAAGAAAUAAAACCCCAAAUCCAAAGUCCCUUUUUUCAGACCACCUUCUACAAACACCAUUGACUCUUGUUACAACAAAACCAACACAAAUAUCACUUUGCUAAUACCUACUGAGCCAGACUUAAACAUGUCACUGAUAUUUACUUAACAAACAUUGUUACGUACGUACUCUGCUGUGGUUCAAAGAACACUCAUUUAUUUAAAACAGCUUAUUUUAAAACAAGGCUUUGGGUUGUUUGCUUUUUUUGUCAUUGUUGGGGUUUCGGUGUGGUUUUUGGUUGGUUGGUGUUUGGGGGUUUAUUUUGUUCCUGGCACGAUGGAGCAGCUAAAACUUUGUGCUUUCUGACCUUGCCUUGUCAGAGAUCUGUCAUAACAGGGGACAGCAUGUUGGCACUGAGUCUGCCAGCGUGGAUUUUGAGGGACUGGGAGAGGCUGCUCGCUUUUAGGGCUUGGUUGUCAGGUGAGGAGUACUUCACUCUGCUCUCACAAUGUCCUGAAAACUGUCUGUAUUCGAGCAGUUGGAGCCUUUCUCCCUCAUGAACCCCAGGAGCCAUGGCUGAUGUCAAGCACGUCGCUCCCAGCCCAGUCCCAGAGGGGUGGCUGGGCGUCUUGCCUGUUCCUGAGCACUCACAUUCCCGCUGUACCCUCACAGUCUGCCUCACUUACGGCUGAAGACAAAGCCAUACCUCCUCCCCUGAGCUGGGGAGCUGCAAGAUCACCGGGUUGACAUCAUUCUCCUUGGUGAUAAAACAUGCUGCAUGCUGAACUUGGCACUCAGCAUGCUCAGGUUGAGCUAAGAGCUAAUGUAAUGAACUCUGGGGAAGGACUUAACAUCAAAUACCACUCUGGAAUAUUAAAUACAGACAGGACCAAUUUCUCACUUGAAUAAUUACA
Molecule: non-coding RNA, 1294 nt
Organism: Cyanistes caeruleus (blue tit)
Lineage: Eukaryota; Metazoa; Chordata; Aves; Passeriformes; Paridae
Source: RefSeq, a predicted model, not a curated record